AUUGAACGCUGGCGGCAGGCCUAACACAUGCAAGUCGAACGAGUGGCGGACGGGUGAGUAAUGUCUGGGGAACUGCCCGAUGGAGGGGGAUAACUACUGGAAACGGUAGCUAAUACCGCAUACCAUCGGAUGUUCCCAUAUGGGAUUAGCUAGUAGGUGGGGUAACGGCUCACCUAGGCGACGAUCCCUAGCUGGUCUGAGAGGAUGACCAGCCACAAUGGAACCGAGAAACGGUCCAGAAUCCUACGGGAGGCAGCAGGGGGGAAUAUUGCACAAGGGGGGAAAGGCGGAUUGAGCCAUGCCGCGUGGAUGAAGAAGGGCGUCGGGUUGGAAAGUAAUUUCAGCGGGGAGGCGUUAACCGCAGAAGAAGCAACGGCUAACUCCGGGGCAGCAGCCGCGGUAAUUC
Molecule: ribosomal RNA, 406 nt
Filed under: uncultured bacterium
Lineage: Bacteria
Description: partial 16S ribosomal RNA
Rfam family: Bacterial small subunit ribosomal RNA
Source: RNAcentral